AUUAAAAGCAACUGGUUUAAACUUAACUGUUUUGAUUUCUGUGAUUUACCUUACAUGCUAAUUAGAUAUCAUUUAAACAAUAAAAAAGCAUGCAUAUAUAGACAAUAUAAAUAUACUUAAGUCAUAACUUGAGGUAGAUUUCUAAAACUCCCAUUGAAAGACCCCCUCCCAGAAAGGGAAUUGUACAAGCCCAAGGCCCUCAACUAUAGAAGUAAAAAGUAAGUUUUUAGAUAUGUGGGACAAGCUGACCCAUCAUUUAGACGAAACAGACCAGAAAAGAAAACAAAAUGCAGAAACCAGACUAAAUUAUGGGCACUGCUCCAUGGGCCACCUGGCAGAAAAAAGAAAAAGUCCCUGACCCCCCGGAAGCCCUGACCACCAUGUACUUUUUGCUAACUCACUGUUAUGAUUAUAGCCAAAAUAGGUAACAUACACGUAUGCCUCAUUUACUCCACCAAUCACAUCCCUGUAACCAUGCAUCUGCUUCUGUAAGCCUGCUUCUGCUCCCAAUACACUAUAAAAACCCGUCCCUGGCUCUGCUAGGCGCACCAGUCUUCCAAAUUGACUGGGACGCCCACAGAUAUCUGUGUAUCCUGAUCAAUAAAAAUCCUCUUGCAGAUUGCAGCCUGUGGACUCGGACUGGUCAUUGGGCUUGAGGAUCUCCCUCCUGAGGGAAGAUUCUCUCUGAGAGUCUUACAUAUGGGGGCUCGUCCGGGAUCGGAGAUCCUCUGCCUAGAGACCACCGACCACCCACCGGGAGUAACUGUUACAGGUCUUCUUUACCACUGAGGAAAGACGGAAUCCUACUGGAGGCCAGAAAGAAUGUUCCAGACAUGGAUAGAAGACCCUCACUCCUGACUGUUGACUUGAAUACUCCUGAAGGUAGGGAGUGCUCCAGGUCUGCCACCAGGCUCCAAGGGUGGGUCUCCGAGGGGCUGGAAAAUGCCCCACCAAUCUGGCUAAGAUAAGGAAAAGAUAUAAAGAAAGAAAGUUACAGAAAUUUGAAGGGUUAAGCUAAGUUGCUGAGAGUUAGUGUAAGUUGCAGAGAAAGUAAAGUUGAAGUGUAGUUACAUAAGUGGACAGCAUCUAAUAGCUGUAGAGGAAGAUGCAGAAGAUAUGAGAGAGAGACUGAGGAAGAGAAAGAGGAAAGAAGGUAAAAAGAGCAGGAAGCUAAGGAAGAAAAGAGACAAAAGGAAAAAGAAGCUAGAGAGCUAAA
This is a non-coding RNA of Rattus norvegicus (Norway rat), 1216 nucleotides long. The record is from RefSeq and is a predicted model, not a curated record. NCBI's taxonomy places the organism in Eukaryota, Metazoa, Chordata, Mammalia, Rodentia, Muridae.